RNAcentral lists this ribosomal RNA (253 nucleotides) under uncultured bacterium. Its description in RNAcentral is "partial 16S ribosomal RNA". It matches the Rfam family "Bacterial small subunit ribosomal RNA", at positions 524 to 776 of the family's 1533-position model. The record is from RNAcentral.
UACGAAGGGGACUAGCGUUGUUCGGAUUUACUGGGCGUAAAGCGCGCGUAGGCGGAUCGCUAAGUCAGAGGUGAAAUCCCAGGGCUCAACCCUGGAACUGCCUUUGAUACUGACGAUCUGGAGAUCGGGAGAGGUUGGUGGAAUUCCGAGUGUAGAGGUGAAAUUCGUAGAUAUUCGGAGGAACACCAGAAGCGAAGGCGGCCAACUGGCCCGAUACUGACGCUGAGGCGCGAAAGCGUGGGGAGCAAACAGG